AAUAGAAUUGAGAGAAAAAAAAAACAAAUAAACUCAUCACAAAUAAAGUUCUGAAAAAAACUUCUCGUGAUUUAAUGAUAAAAGAAAACAUAAAGGAAAAAAAGGAAAAAAGAAAAUAUUAAAAUUAAUAAAAAAAAUGACAUAUGUAGUAAAUGAAAUAAAUGGGAAGCGUAAAAAAAAAUUGUUAUAAUGGUGAUAAUGAAAAAAAAAAUGAAAUACUCUUCCAAUAAAAUGCAACAUACUGAUGUUGUGAAUAAUGAGUAUUAUUAUAGUUGUAAUAAUGCUUGUACACGUUAUUCGACUACAGCUACAACUACUACUACUACUACUAUUAUCACUAAUAAGGAUAAGUAUAUACGGAGUCCCGCGGGGAAGUCUAUAAAUAAACGAACAAACAAGUGUACAUAUGAUGUACCAACAACUUAUAUGUUAAACAAUAAUCGAAUGACUAAUGAAAAUGAAAAUGAAAAAAAAAAAAAAAUGAAAACUAUUAUAAAUGAUAUAUGCAAAAAAAAUAAUGUAGAAAAAUGUAAAGAUGGUAAUAAAAGUAAUAAAUACAGAAGUUCUAUUAGUCAUAGAUACACAAAUUUAUUGGAUUUGCAAAAUAAAAAUUUAUAUGACAUUGAUUUGUUUACUUAUUUUAAUGACUUAAAUGAUAAACAAAAAAAUGGUUCUGAUAGUAUGUUUUUAGAAUUUUUAUUAAAAGAGAUAGAAGAAUUGACAGAGGAUUCUCGACAGAUGAUAUGUGAUGAUGUAAUAGAUAGUGGUGACAUAGGUAAUGCAACUAGUAGCAUGGAUAAUAAUAAUAUAGACGGAUGUUAUGACCAUGAUAGUAACAAUAUGGGUGAACACAAUCAUUCUAAAACAAGGAACAAAAUGAAAAAUAAAAUAAACAUAAAAAAAGAGAUAGACUUAGAAAAUAAUACUAAUUUUGAUAAAAAUGAUUUAAAAAAUAUUUUUUUUUCUGAACCAAUAAAUAUAAAUUUUAACAAUCAAGGACUAACAAUUUUUCCUUUUAAAAGUAAAUAUGUUAUUGAAAAUGUAGAUACUAAUAUGAAUGAGAAAAAAAAAACGCCUAUUAGCGAAUGCUUUGUGCUGAAUAGCAAUAAAUAUGGUAAUAGAGAUGACGAUGGGGAUGAUAGUGAGGAGGUAGAAAAUAACAACAAUACAAACGCGCAUGGUGAGCUUAAAAAUAUUAAAAUACGUUUAUAUCGGAACAACAAACAGGUUUUAAGUUAUAUUAACAUUAAUGAUGUACAUAUGCCUAUUACCAAAGGUGUGAUAUGUUUUUUAUACUUUUUACUAUUAUGUAAAAAUCUAUAUAAUGGCCAUUCGGAAGAAAAAUGUAAUGAAAGAAUGUUGGAACGUAAAGACGACCAUGAUAAAAAAAAUAUUCAAAGGAGAGGAAGAAAAAAAAAUAAAAUUGAACAGAGUAAUAAUGAAACGAAUGAGCAGACUGGCAAAAGCAAAACGAUCAGCUUAAAUAUGAAAAACAUUUUAUCUAAAAUGAAUAAAGAUAUGACAAAAGAAUUAAGUAAAGGUAAUAUAUUUUUAAGUCUUUGCGCUCCAAUAAUUUAUUUGGACUUUAGUGAUAAGAUAGACAUAGUAAGUUUUUUUUUUUUUUUUUUAAAUAAAUUUAAACAAGGUACGACUAUAACUAACAAAGAAGACGCUGAUGAUAAGAAAAAGGACAAUGAAUAUAUAGUUAGUAAUAUAAAUGAUAAAAAUUUGUACAAACUAACUAGCAUGGAAGUAGAAGAAGAAAAACAAACUACCUCAUCUCCUAUACAUGGUAAUGAUGUAUAUAAUGAUCAUACACCAUAUGUUAUUAAAGAGCAAAAUAAAUUAUAUAGAUUAAUAAAUAAUUUUUUUUUGAAAUGCCAAAAAUGUUUUGAAGGUAGUUUACUGGCUAUUAGUGUAUGUGGGUAUUUAAAUGAUCCUAUGUUUUAUAUAUCAACGAAUAAAAAAAAUAAAAAUUUUAUAUUCGUUUAUUUUGUGUCACAACUGUUAAUUAAACCGAUAUAUAUAGAUAUAAUAGAAGUUAGUAAUGUUUGUAAAAAAGUAGAAUGGAUUAAAUUAGAAGAAAAUAAAAAAGAAAAAACAUAUAUAUAUCUUUUGUUAUGUUUAAUAGGUAAUGAGUUGAGAAUAUAUGGAUUGUCACAGUAUGAUUUUUUUUUAAAUUUGUACCUUUUUAUAAAAAAUGAUGGUAGUAGCAAUUGUAGUAGUAGUAGUAGUAGUAGUAGUAGUAGUAGUAGUAGUAGUAGUNNNNNNNNNNGUAGUAGUAGUAGUAGUAGUAGUAGUAGUAGUAGUAGUAGUAGUAGUAGUGGUAAAGAAAACAACACGAACCAUAUAGAGCACAUAAAACGAUGCAUUGAAAAACGGAAAUUUAAAAAAUUAUUUUCAUACAAAAGUAAAAAAAUGUUAAAUGACUUUUCAUACACCAUUUGCAUACAAAAUAAAAAAAGGUUUUUAAAAGUGGCCAUUUGUUUUAACGAUUAUAAAAUAGAAAUAAUUAAUCUUAGUUUAAAUGAAGUACUUCAAAAAAAAAAAAAAAUACAUACUAAUAAUAAUAAUAACUGUAGUAAACAAACGGAAACUAUAAAUGUGUCUUUGCAGGGCAGUGAUGACGCAAGUUCUCAUUUUUUUUCUUUUUUUAAAAAAAGCCCAUAUGUUUGUGCAGAUACUAGCACAUGCACCAGAACGUAUGAACGUAUAAGUAAUAGUGUAGAAUGUAGUAAAGAAGUCGAAUAUAGCUUUGUUACGAAUGUACAAAAUAUUAAGAAAAAAAACGCCGAACGGAAAAACGAUAUUGAUGAUAAAUGGGAUACGGAAGAACAUGUAAAUAAUAAGUGUAACAUAAGCAAACAAAAAAAUCAAGUAAUUCAGAAAAAAAGAGGGAGAGGAAGACCAAGGAAGGACGAAGUUAAACAAAGAGAUGAACCAAAUAACAUACCAAUAGAAGAAGUCGUAACAAUAGAAGAAGUUGUACCAAUAAAAGAAGUCUUACCAAUAGGAGAAGUCGUACCAAUAAAAGAAGUGGUACCAAUAAAAGAAGUGGUACCAAUAAANNNNNNNNNNGUACCAAUAAAAGAAGUGGUACCAAUAAAAGAAGUGGUACCAAUAAAGGAAGUCGUACCGGUAGAAAAAAUCCUACCAGUAGAAGAAGCGAAUUUUAUGUUACAUUUUAUGACUGAUUGUAUAAAUACUUUCUCCCAAUACCAUAAAAAAAUUAUGUGUUCAGAAAAAUAUGAACUAUGCGUGAAUAAAGAUUACAUACUUUUACAACAAGGUGUGUUAUCUCUAUGUUCGUUUUACCCAUGUAUUAAUUCAUUUCUUUUAUGUUUAAGCACAAAAGAAGGUGAUAUUAUAAUAAUUGAUAUAAGAAAUAAUAGUGAGUUAUUUUAUUUUAAAAGAAAAACAGAAAGUAUAACUCAUUUAAAAUGGUAUAAUAUAAACUGUAUAGUUUUCGGACAAGAGAAAGGUUGUAUGUUGGAUUUAUUUUGUAACCAUAAUUUUUUAAAUGUUGAUAAAAUAUGGAACAGUAAAAUAGAGUUAAUAUGUUUACAUAGUUCUAUAAUUAAUGAUAAUUAUAUUUAUUUGUUUGAUGAUGGUAGUAUAAUAAAAGGUACUUUCAAAUUAGGUAAACACAAAGGCAAACCAAAGGAAAUUAUUUGUUGGAAUAUAAAUAAAACAACAACGUUAACAAAUACUGAAGAUAAUAAUGAAUUAUUAUUAAAAAUUACCUGUAUAGAAAACGUAAGAAUAAAAUCCGUUUAUUUAUUACUAUUAUAUGAUUACUUACAAGGGUUGAAUCAUAUAUUUAAUAAUGGUAUUAACAUAACAAAGCUUCCUACAUAUAAGCCAGAUUUAAGUAGUAGUAGUAGUAGUAGUAGACAUAAUAUAGCCUUGACGCCUCGAUCAGUAUCGAUUGGAAACUUUGGAAAAAAUUAUGUGGCAGCUUAUGGGAAUUCGUGUGGUUUAAUUCACAUUUU
Molecule: long non-coding RNA, 3992 nt
Organism: Piliocolobus tephrosceles (Ugandan red Colobus)
Lineage: Eukaryota; Metazoa; Chordata; Mammalia; Primates; Cercopithecidae
Source: Ensembl